AUUGAACGCUGGCGGCAGGCCUAACACAUGCAAGUCGAGCGGAUGAAGGGAGCCUGCUCCUGGAUUCAGCGGCGGACGGGUGAGUAAUGCCUAGGAAUCUGCCUGGUAGGGGGGGAUAACGUCCGGAAACGGGCGCUAAUACCGCAUACGUCCUGAGGGAGAAAGUGGGGGAUCUUCGGACCUCACGCUAUCAGAUGAGGCUAGGUCGGAUUAGCUAGUUGGUGGGGUAAAGGCCUACCAAGGCGACGAUCCGUAACUGGUCUGAGAGGAUGAUCAGUCACACUGGAACUGAGACACGGUCCAGACUCCUACGGGAGGCAGCAGUGGGGAAUAUUGGACAAUGGGCGAAAGCCUGAUCCAGCCAUGCCGCGUGUGUGAAGAAGGUCUUCGGAUUGUAAAGCACUUUAAGUUGGGAGGAAGGGCAGUAAGUUAAUACCUUGCUGUUUUGACGUUACCAACAGAAUAAGCACCGGCUAACUUCGUG
Molecule: ribosomal RNA, 484 nt
Filed under: uncultured bacterium
Lineage: Bacteria
Description: partial 16S ribosomal RNA
Rfam family: Bacterial small subunit ribosomal RNA
Source: RNAcentral